GCACUAUAAACAUAUAUUGGGUUAAAAAUUUAACAUACUAACAAAAACAGAUUAGCAAAUACAAUCAGAUGCCUACAUGUCAUAGCGAUCCACUCCGUCGAAAAAGGGAGGUCGAAAACAUAUAUAAAACUAUUAAAGUAAAGGAGUUUAAGUAAUGCAAGUAAACACAGGAUUUUUGUUACACAACGACACUUAAAUAGUAGCCUCCAUAGUUCUAGGGGAAAGCAACACUCCCGAUUAACUGUAUGUACCUGAGAACCGAAUCAGAUCUCGAUGUCUUUAUGAGACACUUGUCUGCUUCUUAUAACUUUCAACUGUGGACAAAUAGACACCCAAGUGAUGACGUGUCAUU
Arabidopsis thaliana (thale cress) is the source of this 352-nucleotide long non-coding RNA. RefSeq annotates it as other RNA. The record is from RefSeq. The transcript has a single exon. NCBI's taxonomy places the organism in Eukaryota, Viridiplantae, Streptophyta, Magnoliopsida, Brassicales, Brassicaceae.